Molecule: ribosomal RNA, 254 nt
Filed under: uncultured bacterium
Lineage: Bacteria
Description: partial 16S ribosomal RNA
Rfam family: Bacterial small subunit ribosomal RNA
Source: RNAcentral
UACGUAGGUGGCAAGCGUUUGUCCGGAAUUAUUGGGCGUAAAGCGCGCGCAGGCGGUCUCUUAAGUCUGAUGUGAAAUCUCGCGGCUCAACCGUGAGCGGUCAUUGGAAACUGGGAGACUUGAGUGCAGAAGAGAAGAGCGGAAUUCCACGUGUAGCGGUGAAAUGCGUAGAGAUGUGGAGGAACACCAGUGGCGAAGGCGGCUCUUUGGUCUGUAACUGACGCUGAGGCGCGAAAGCGUGGGGAGCGAACAGG